AACGAUGCGUAGCCGACAUGAGAGGGUGAUCGGCCACACUGAGACUGAGACACGGCCCAGACUCCUACGAGAGGCAGCAGUAGGGAAUCUUCCGCAAUGGACGAAAGUCUGACGGAGCAACGCCGCGUGAGUGAUGAAGGUUUUCGGAUCGUAAAACUCUGUUGUUAGGGAAGAACAAGUGCCAUUCAAAUAGGUUGGCACCUUGACGGUACCUAACCAGAAAGCCCCGGCUAACUACGUGCCAGCAGCCGCGGUAAUACGUAGGGGGCAAGCGUUGUCCGGAAUUAUUGGGCGUAAAGCGCGCGCAGGCGGUCCUUUAAGUCUGAUGUGAAAGCCCACGGCUUAACCGUGGAGGGCCAUUGGAAACUGGAGGACUUGAGUACAGAAGAGGAGAGUGGAAUUCCACGUGUAGCGGUGAAAUGCGUAGAGAUGUGGAGGAACACCAGUGGCGAAGGCGACUCUCUGGUCUGUAACUGACGCUGAGGUGCGAAAGCGUGGGUAGCGAACAGGAUUAGAUACCCUGGUAGUCCACGCCGUAAACGAUGAGUGCUAGGUGUUAGGGGGUUCCGCCCCUUAGUGCUGAAGUAACGCAUAAGC
RNAcentral lists this ribosomal RNA (597 nucleotides) under Virgibacillus dokdonensis. RNAcentral's name for it is "bacterial SSU rRNA". It matches the Rfam family "Bacterial small subunit ribosomal RNA", at positions 275 to 865 of the family's 1533-position model. The record is from RNAcentral. Lineage: Bacteria; Bacillati; Bacillota; Bacilli; Caryophanales; Bacillaceae.